GGAGAGAUGGCCGAGUUGGUUAUGGCGUCAGGUUAAGGUCCUGAUGGGAUUUUCCCGCGUGGGUUCGAAUCCCACUCUCUUCA
RNAcentral lists this transfer RNA (83 nucleotides) under Exophiala oligosperma. RNAcentral describes it as "tRNA-Leu (AAG) (tRNA-Leu-AAG-1-1)". It matches the Rfam family "tRNA". From Rfam's summary of the family: Transfer RNA (tRNA) molecules are approximately 80 nucleotides in length. Their secondary structure includes four short double-helical elements and three loops (D, anti-codon, and T loops). Further hydrogen bonds mediate the characteristic L-shaped molecular structure. tRNAs have two regions of fundamental functional importance: the anti-codon, which is responsible for specific mRNA codon recognition, and the 3' end, to which the tRNAs corresponding amino acid is attached (by aminoacyl-tRNA synthetases). tRNAs cope with the degeneracy of the genetic code in two manners: having more than one tRNA (with a specific anti-codon) for a particular amino acid; and 'wobble' base-pairing, i.e. permitting non-standard base-pairing at the 3rd anti-codon position. The record is from RNAcentral. Lineage: Eukaryota; Fungi; Ascomycota; Eurotiomycetes; Chaetothyriales; Herpotrichiellaceae.